RNAcentral lists this ribosomal RNA (497 nucleotides) under uncultured bacterium. RNAcentral describes it as "partial 16S ribosomal RNA". It matches the Rfam family "Bacterial small subunit ribosomal RNA", at positions 28 to 507 of the family's 1533-position model. The record is from RNAcentral.
GAUGAACGCUGGCGGCGUGCCUAAUACAUGCAAGUCGAGCGAACAGACGAGGAGCUUGCUCCUCUGACGUUAGCGGCGGACGGGUGAGUAACACGUGGAUAACCUACCUAUAAGACUGGGAUAACUUCGGGAAACCGGAGCUAAUACCGGAUAAUAUAUUGAACCGCAUGGUUCAAUAGUGGAAGACGGUUUUGCUGUCACUUAUAGAUGGAUCCGCGCCGCAUUAGCUAGUUGGUAAGGUAACGGCUUACCAAGGCAACGAUGCGUAGCCGACCUGAGAGGGUGAUCGGCCACACUGGAACUGAGACACGGUCCAGACUCCUACGGGAGGCAGCAGUAGGGAAUCUUCCGCAAUGGGCGAAAGCCUGACGGAGCAACGCCGCGUGAGUGAUGAAGGUCUUCGGAUCGUAAAACUCUGUUAUUAGGGAAGAACAAAUGUGUAAGUAACUAUGCACGUCUUGCCGGUACCUAAUCAGAAAGCCACGGCUAACUACGUG